Molecule: long non-coding RNA, 1312 nt
Organism: Cryptomeria japonica (Japanese cedar)
Lineage: Eukaryota; Viridiplantae; Streptophyta; Pinopsida; Cupressales; Cupressaceae
Exons: 4
Source: RefSeq, a predicted model, not a curated record
AAACAAAAGUAUUUUGUUGGAAGUAAAUUAAAACUCUUUCAAAAGUUUUUCUCCGGCUGAGUUUAUCAAACCCUAAUACAUCCACUGCCAUGAAUUUCACUAUAGCAGUUACAGGGCAAAAUAUUGUCAGAUUCUGGUUAUGGGUUUUUGGUAUGACAAUCCGCAAGGUUAAACGAGUCGAAUGGUGGUCUUAGUUGCUGAUUUCAAUGGGAUUUUGUGCAGAUAUUUAGGAUUUCAUUCUCCGGUACAUCUCUUCAAAAGAACAGAUCCUUCAUGCAAUCGUUUGACAAGGUUUAGCAGCAGAAAAUAAAUGGAGAACAAAGAAGGACCAAGAAAGAAAAAGGAUGCAAGAAGAUCGUGGUGAUUCUGUAUACUGCAAAAAGACUUAAAAGCUGGGAAAACUAAUUGGAAAAAGAAAAGGAUGCAAGAAUAUCGUGAUUCUGUAUACUGCAAAAGACUGAAAAGCUGGGAAAACUAAUUGGAUGAUGCAUCAAUACCAUCUUGGUACUGAGAAGGCUGAAAAGGAAGGCGCGUUCGUUGUGUCAAAAGUAUAACCCCACUUCCUUCUCGUCUUCAUCUGUACCAAGAUGAUACUCAUGCAUCACCCAGUUAGUUUUCUCUGUAUAUAAAAGCAUUGAGAGCAUGUGUGCUUCCUGACCAUCGUUGAAGAGGAUGGGUGUUUCCAUUGGAUCAAGAUCAAAUAAGUUGGAUGACAAGAUUUCUGCAAAGAAAGAAGAAGUGGACAGAAAGAAGAAGUGGAGAGAACCUUGGAGUUAUUUCAUCUACAUCUUGAUAAAGGAGGUUAAUUAUAUAUAGAACAAGAAACAACCGUCAUUCUUUAUAUUAGGUUUUUAAGAGAGAACAACAAUAAUAAUAUGUGUAGGUAAAAUGUCAUUAGCCUUUCUAAAUGCAUAACAACUCUAAUGUUGUAUUAAGGGUUCUACAGAUGCUCCAUUGCAAGACACUACUACUUUUAGUUUGUGAAAAGCCUUCCUAAGAAUUUAUAUUGUUGUAUAUUGAUGAGAGUGCCCACGUUAAAUUGAAACCUCUUUGAAAACAAUAUAAUGGAACCUGAGGAAUUCCCCCUUCUAAAAAUAAAUCUAUUACCAUCAUAAAUUGAUUAUGUAAGUGCAUUUGUAAGUUGAAACAUCAAUAUUCAGUUACAAGUAAGGAAUGACGUCUGGAAUGCAAUCAACUUGCACUUUCUGAAUAUUUCUUCAAGAACUCAUGGAGUAAUGCCAGUACAGUUCUUAGAUGGAAGUAAUGUGAGUACAGUUCUUAGAUGGAAGUAAUGUGAUUUGAAGAUACUGAG